GUCGAGGGGCAGCACGGUUUUCGGACUGGUGGCGACCGGCGCACGGGUGCGUAACGCGUAUGCAACCUACCUACAACAGGAGGAUAGCCCGGGGAAACUCGGAUUAAUAUUCCAUAAAGCAGGGGUACCGCCUGGUACUAUUUGCUAAAGAUUUAUCGGUUGUAGAUGGGCAUGCGUAUGAUUAGCUAGAUGGUGAGGUAAUGGCUCACCAUGGCGAUGAUCAUUAGGGGUUCUGAGAGGAUUAUCCCCCACACUGGUACUGAGAUACGGACCAGACUCCUACGGGAGGCAGCAGUAGGGAAUAUUGGUCAAUGGAGGCAACUCUGAACCAGCCAUGCCGCGUGCAGGAAGACGGCCUUCUGGGUUGUAAACUGCUUUUCUACAGGAAGAAACGGCCCUUGCGAGGGACAUUGACGGUACUGUAGGAAUAAGCACCGGCUAACUCCGUGCCAGCAGCCGCGGUAAUACGGAGGGUGCAAGCGUUGUCCGGAUUUAUUGGGUUUAAAGGGUACGUAGACGGCUAUAUAAGUCAGUGGUGAAAGACUUCAGCUUAACUGGAGAAGUGCCAUUGAUACUGUAUAGCUUGAGUAUGGUCGAGGUAGGCGGAAUUUAUGGUGUAGCGGUGAAAUGCAUAGAUACCAUAAAGAACACCGAUAGCGAAGGCAGCUUACUUGACCGUAACUGACGCUGAGGUACGAAAGCGUGGGUAGCGAACAGGAUUAGAUACCCUGGUAGUCCACGCUGUAAACGAUGAUCACUCGAUGUGUGCGAUAGACAGUACGCGUCUUAGCGAAAGUGAUAAGUGAUCCACCUGGGGAGUACGUCCGCAAGGAUGAAACUCAAAGGAAUUGACAGGGGUCCGCACAAGCGGUGGAGUAUGUGGUUUAAUUCGAUGCAACGCGAAGAACCUUACCAGGCUUGACAUGUCCAGUAUCCUGCCGAAAGGUGGGAGUGCCUUCAGGAACCGGAACACAGGUGGUGCAUGGCUGUCGUCAGCU
This 998-nucleotide ribosomal RNA is filed under the name uncultured bacterium. RNAcentral describes it as "bacterial SSU rRNA". It matches the Rfam family "Bacterial small subunit ribosomal RNA", at positions 61 to 1060 of the family's 1533-position model. The record is from RNAcentral.